Molecule: ribosomal RNA, 253 nt
Filed under: uncultured bacterium
Lineage: Bacteria
Description: partial 16S ribosomal RNA
Rfam family: Bacterial small subunit ribosomal RNA
Source: RNAcentral
AACGUAGGAUCCGAGCGUUAUCCGAAUUCACUGGGCGUAAAGCGCGAGCAGGCGGCCUGCUAAGUUGGAUGUGAAACCUCCCGGCUCAACUGGGAGAGGACGUACAAUACUAGUAGGCUAGAGGGCAGUAGAGGGAGGUGGAAUUCCCGGUGUAGUGGUGAAAUGCGUAGAUAUCGGGAGGAACACCAGUGGCGAAAGCGGCCUCCUGGGCUGCACCUGACGCUGAGAUGCGAAAGCUAGGGGAGCAAACGGG